This 913-nucleotide long non-coding RNA is filed under the name Anas platyrhynchos platyrhynchos (common mallard). RNAcentral's name for it is "lncRNA (ENSAPLG00000026789.1)". Lineage: Eukaryota; Metazoa; Chordata; Aves; Anseriformes; Anatidae. The record is from RNAcentral.
GACACCUCCACCCCACCCCACUCUUUAAUUCUGUUAUCUUAACAGCCAAAUAGGAAAGCACUCUAGGAAUAGUAAUCCUAUAAGCUUAUGGUGGUGAAGUGCUACUUUUUAUAUUACAGCUAUACUACCCUCUCUAGAUAUUUUUAUCCAUUCAGCUGCUGAGGAAUCUUGCUGCUUUACCACACGUUUUCGAAGAACCGCCCCCGAUUUCCUGGAAAUCUGUAUCAGUAAUAAUCUGCUGGUGUUACUGAUAUGUGUGACCCACCAUGGGACACUUAACUGUGCAGUGGGUGGAGUAGGUGUGCUGCCAACAGGUCUGCACGUGUACUGACUGAGGCAAUGGAGAAGUUAGCAUUGACAUUGUUGAGAGAAUAUGCUGAAGUCAUGGUUAUGCUGUUUUGUUUGAGACCAUUGCUAUAAGAGAUAGGACAUAAUUAGGGAACCUUGUGGUAAGCUGCACAAGACCUCUCCAAGGUUCUGGUGCUGCAAAAAUUGCAAAAAGAUAAAAAAUGUGUGUGGGUCUUUCCUUUGCAAUGUUGGGUGCCCAUGGGGUACGGGUACAGAGCAUACAGGGUGGUGUCUGUAGCUCCUGGCUAGAGUGCUGUGCACAGUGGUCACUAGAGACACGUGCCUGCCCCUCCGUCGGCUGAUGGACUGAACCUGCUUCUCUCCCUUUUUCUAUUCUGUCUUCAAAUCUGACUUAGCAGGGUCAGACUGGGACUCCUGCUGUAAAUGCUGUCUUCCACACAGCUUCUCCAGCCUGCUCCACUCUGCCCAUCAAGGUUUACCUCCUCGCCUUUCAUGUGUGCCUGGGACUGGGAACCCCCCUGCGCUCUGCAGCGGGAUGAAGAACAGCAAUUAAAGGAUGGCCAUAUUCCCUCAGCAGUUCCAUAACCUGCUUUUUUGAAGCAGC